RNAcentral lists this ribosomal RNA (791 nucleotides) under uncultured bacterium. Its description in RNAcentral is "bacterial SSU rRNA". It matches the Rfam family "Bacterial small subunit ribosomal RNA", at positions 8 to 796 of the family's 1533-position model. The record is from RNAcentral.
AGAGUUUGAUCCUGGCUCAGAUUGAACGCUGGCGGCAUGCCUUACACAUGCAAGUCGAACGGCAGCACGGGAGCAAUCCUGGUGGCGAGUGGCGAACGGGUGAGUAAUACAUCGGAACGUGCCCAGUAGUGGGGGAUAGCCCGGCGAAAGCCGGAUUAAUACCGCAUACGACCUAUGGGUGAAAGCGGGGGAUCGCAAGACCUUGCGCUAUUGGAGCGGCCGAUGUCAGAUUAGGUUGUUGGUGGGGUAAAGGCCUACCAAGCCGACGAUCUGUAGCUGGUCUGAGAGGACGACCAGCCACACUGGGACUGAGACACGGCCCAGACUCCUACGGGAGGCAGCAGUGGGGAAUUUUGGACAAUGGGCGCAAGCCUGAUCCAGCCAUGCCGCGUGCGGGAAGAAGGCCUUCGGGUUGUAAACCGCUUUUGUCAGGGAAGAAACGCUCCGGGCUAAUACCUCGGAGUAAUGACGGUACCUGAAGAAUAAGCACCGGCUAACUACGUGCCAGCAGCCGCGGUAAUACGUAGGGUGCAAGCGUUAAUCGGAAUUACUGGGCGUAAAGCGUGCGCAGGCGGUUGUGCAAGACAGAUGUGAAAUCCCCGGGCUCAACCUGGGAACUGCAUUUGUGACUGCAUAGCUGGAGUGCGGCAGAGGGGGAUGGAAUUCCGCGUAGCAGUGAAAUGCGUAGAUAUGCGGAGGAACACCGAUGGCGAAGGCAAUCCCCUGGGCCUGCACUGACGCUCAUGCACGAAAGCGUGGGGAGCAAACAGGAUUAGAUACCCUAGUAGUCC